GUGCUUGCCUCAGCAGCAUAUAUACUGGAACAAUACAGAGAAGAAUAGCACGGCCGCUACACAAGAAUGACAUGCAAUCUCAUAAAGUGUUCCAUAUUUUA
RNAcentral lists this small nuclear RNA (101 nucleotides) under Castor canadensis (American beaver). The record is from RNAcentral. Lineage: Eukaryota; Metazoa; Chordata; Mammalia; Rodentia; Castoridae.